CUCUGCUGCAGGGGUGUGCACUUAGAAAAAGUGUGACCCCACAACCUACUGCGUCCUCCACCAGAAAGUUUGUCUUUUCUUUUUUCUCACUCUCUUGGACUUGAUGUUUUAUAUUUUCCCCGACUGCUGUUUCCUGGGACUCCAAUACCAGUUUCCUUUUACUGGAAACACAGAGGCAAAUGACAACAUCAUCCUUACUGAAACACCCUGCCUCCACCAUACCCAUGCAAGCUAUUUGUUUCUCAGGCUAAAAGAGACGCCAUGAAAGAGAACUUCUGGUGAAACUUCAAGGACUUAAUGAGACUUCAAGGACAUUGAUACAAGCUAUUUGUAACUCAGAAAUUCUACCUGGAUCCUAGGCCCUUGACAGUCCUUAGAGAAGAGUCGGGUAUUUGAGGACUCAUAUGAAUUGACAACAUCAUGAGUAUAAAUUUUCCAAGAAGGCUUU
Molecule: long non-coding RNA, 448 nt
Filed under: Homo sapiens (human)
Lineage: Eukaryota; Metazoa; Chordata; Mammalia; Primates; Hominidae
Description: HSALNT0175551
Source: RNAcentral